UACAGAGACUGCAAGCGUUAUUCGGAUUCACUGGGCGUAAAGGGUGCGCAGGCGGCCGAGUGUGUGAGGCGUGAAAACCCGGGGCUUAACCCCGGAAUUGCACCUCAAACUACACGGCUAGAGCAUUGGAGAGGGUAGCAGAAUUCAUGGUGUAGCAGUGAAAUGCGUAGAUAUCAUGAGGAAUACCAGAGGCGAAGGCGGCUACCUGGACAAUUGCUGACGCUCAGGCACGAAAGCGUGGGGAGCAAAAGGG
Molecule: ribosomal RNA, 253 nt
Filed under: uncultured bacterium
Lineage: Bacteria
Description: partial 16S ribosomal RNA
Rfam family: Bacterial small subunit ribosomal RNA
Source: RNAcentral